Parus major (Great Tit) is the source of this 1595-nucleotide long non-coding RNA. RefSeq lists it as uncharacterized. The record is from RefSeq and is a predicted model, not a curated record. The transcript has 3 exons. NCBI's taxonomy places the organism in Eukaryota, Metazoa, Chordata, Aves, Passeriformes, Paridae.
AACGCCGGCUUUACUCUUUCGGCGCACAGCUUACCCAGGGGAGAAAGAAAUGGCACAGAACAAGCAGGGUGCGGGUCUCCGCCGGGCAGCAGCGGUCCCCGAGGGGCAGCUGGAGGGGGGAUCCCCGGCGCUGUCGCCCCCCGAGCAUCGCCCGAAGGGGCCCCUUUGCUCCGGAGCCCACCCUGGCACCCGCCGCCUCCCCUCUGCCUCCCUCCAGUGGGGAAAUCCCGGCUGGAUCGGGAGAAGCCUCCCGGCUCCGGGGCACAGAACCGGAGGAUGCUGCGAGCUCCGCCAGCGCCGGGGCCACCCCUGCUUCUAAAUCACAGAAAUAUUUUUUUAAAAAAAAACCCCAACAACUCAAGAGCCGAACGAGGAGUCAGGAGGCUGGGAGGCUCCCAGCGCGCCUUCUGCAGCCGCGGGGGAUCCGCAGGAGCUGCUUGACAUUUUGCUGGAGGUGAGAUGAGGAUCUCCGAUUUGAUCAUCUGGUAGUGUCUCUGUUACCUUUUUGCCUUGAUGCUCUCAUACUUUCAGGCAAAUUGGCUGAAUUUGGUGCUUCAUUUGUUUCACAAUAAUAAUGGUCCUGUCUCUGCACCAUUUCUCUGAAGCACACAAGAGAAAAGAUAUGGUGCACCUCUCCAGCCACAACAACCUUGGUCACAAGUUGCAAGGAGGAGGCAGUGGCUGGGUUUGCUCAGAAAGGCUCCUUUCUGUGAAGCAAAGCAGAAGAGAAAUGUAUUUGCCCCAGAGAUGCCUCAGGGAGGCAUGACACAGUGAUACUGGUGUAGCAUGGAGAAGUGCAGAGCAUGGGGAAGAUCCACAGGUCUCUGCCAGCACCUGGCUGAGCCAAGAGAAGAGAACAAGACCAAAUCCACCUGAAACAGCAAGUGUAGAGCCUAUUUCUCCUUUUUACAUCAGUAUUACACUCAAUUCCUUCAGAUGCUCUCAACUUCCCUGAUGCACCCCAAUGAGCGUGGAGGUAACAAGUGCUCUCUGAUAAUGCCAUCGGAAUUACAGCAGGGUCCAGCCCAGUGUGCUGGAUCCGAUCCCUCUCCUGCUGUAGCAUUUCACUAGCAAGUGUCAUUUAGAUGGUUUUGGGAAAGAAUCCAGGAUUUGUUUCACAGACAGUAUUUCCUCAACAGCUCAGUGAAUAUGGAAUAGUUUGAACUAACCAUGCAAAUCUUGCUUGUCGUCUUAUGUAGAGAAACUAUAUCUAUUCUAAAGUCUGGGCCAGGACUUUCAACUGCUGAUGGGGGAUAGUUAUGCAGACUUCAAAGGAGCUGUAUCAGCUUUUACCAAGUGGGGAUCCAGACCUUUAUUCAUAUUUUAAAAUUCAGAAACUGUGCCUAGGUAAAGCAUUUUUCUCUAUAUUUUCAAGUAGCCAGUUUUUUAUUUUAUAGCUGUUCUCUCAGUGGCAGGAUUGUUUCUUAGUAGUCAAUGUUUAAAGGCCCUUCAAGGCUGAAGGAAUUAAAAAUGAAUAAUUUAAAGCUGGUCUAUGAUGCAUAAUUUUUAACAUAUGUUUUACAGGCCAUGUGGAACAGUUUUUGACUUGUCAGUAGAUAUUUUACAAACAUGCUGUGCUGGAACCAAAACCUUUU